RNAcentral lists this unclassified non-coding RNA (338 nucleotides) under Paspalum notatum. RNAcentral's name for it is "partial external transcribed spacer". Lineage: Eukaryota; Viridiplantae; Streptophyta; Magnoliopsida; Poales; Poaceae. The record is from RNAcentral.
CGACUGCCGGUGCCAGUGUCCCUUCAAUCGUUGGCUAUCGUGUGCCUAUCGYUUCACGAGUGCUUGCGUGCUGCUACCAGUAACGCUGGAAGUUGCAUUGCUAAAAGGUUGGUUUUGCCGUGCAUGCCCAUUGGGCAUGACACGACAAUUAUAAAGCGGUCAUGGCGUUGCCUCGUGUAGCUGGCCGCAUUGGCUAGUGGCAUCAAGGCUACCUCAUGGUCGCUGUUGGUCUCGGAUGUGGCUAACUCUAAAGGCUGAAGGUGCUUUGGCACCCCAUGCCUACAAAAUACUGUCCGGUUGGAAUAAACGACAGUUGGCCUAGCUGAAGCCUUGUGUGG